GAGCCGCCGUGACGUCACGGGCCACCCGCCAGCCCCGCGCUCUACCAGGCAGAGCGCGUGUGGCCGCCGAGCACAUGGACCCACUGGUCAAGCGGGCUCGGCAAGGCCAGGAUGAAGAGAAGCUACGAACUUAGCAUUCCCAGAGCCCCCCGAGUGGAUAUCCGCGUGGAAAGGAUGUUGGCAGCCCCGGUGACCUCGGAGUCACGGCUGGAUCCACCCUCUUUAUACCCUUUAAGCGUUCCAGAAGGAUUUUGAGAUCCUUUCCUAAAUCAAAGGUGGAAUAUUUGGGGAUUUGGAAAAUUGAGCAUUUUUUUCCCCACUUGCUUGACUGUAAUGCUAACAUGCUCUCUCUGCUCCAACCUGGAGAAGCCAGUCUCUCAGAAGAACCAGUUGUGUUACUUUGCUGUGAGAUGCCUGCCCUAAGAGAGGAGCAGAAGGUCGGAACGGGUCCUCUAAUGUGAUAAUUAGAUGUGAAGCGUUGACUUAAGAGAUGCCAAGUAACUCAGCAGAUGUCACACAGACGAUAAAUAGCAAAGAUGGAAGUCUUCAUGCCGGAGGCAAUCCUAUAAGACAGCUGAGUUCUGCAGAGCUGGUAGGAGACAGACUUGCUCAGGUGAUAGAUCCAGCCAUGAUACUGACCCUAAGAGAAUGAGACGCUCUGCAGAAGACAGAAGAUUCCUGAAACUGGGAAAGGUGCCUAGAAAUCCUGAUAAGAGUGAAGAAGGGUACCUGGAGGCACAGCAGCCAUGUUGAACCUAUGAGGUGAUGAAAAACCAUGCAACUAGAAACCAGAAUGGAAGAAAAGAAGAAGCUGGAUCCUUGACUGAAUUGUCGAUGGGGGAUAGUCCAUCAUCCCAGGGCUAAGACCACCUCCAGAUUUCUUGUUUGGUGAAACAAGUCCUGAUUGUUUACAUUCCCUCGUGUUGAGCUGUCUCUUGCUUGUAGCUGAAAGCAUUUCUAAUAGAUAUUCAGAUUAUCAGCCUUAGCUCCAAGCUAGAAUACUCUAUGGGACCUUAGCUUCUCCAUGAAUUCCUUUGCUCAUCUGUGUAAUGCUCAAUAAAUGUAAAUUGAACCCUGAAUGAGGGACAAUGACACUA
Molecule: long non-coding RNA, 1097 nt
Filed under: Mus musculus (house mouse)
Lineage: Eukaryota; Metazoa; Chordata; Mammalia; Rodentia; Muridae
Description: Pvt1 oncogene
Rfam family: Pvt1 oncogene conserved region 1 (bases 67-223)
Source: RNAcentral